Long non-coding RNA from Macadamia integrifolia, 528 nucleotides. RefSeq lists it as uncharacterized. NCBI's taxonomy places the organism in Eukaryota, Viridiplantae, Streptophyta, Magnoliopsida, Proteales, Proteaceae. The record is from RefSeq and is a predicted model, not a curated record. The transcript has 3 exons.
UUCACUCCCUACUCUUCCCUCGACCCUAAGUGCAUUUGGUGCCGGUGCACUUCAGCCAUUCAUCCAUAAGUCUCCGACAUCCUCUCAUCGACAAUUUGCAGAACUCUGGGAUGAAAAAUAUCUAUCUAUCUUCCUCUUUUGUUGCAUUCUCCGAUGUUACACAAAACAAAGGGUGUAAAUGGAAGGUAUCUGAGUAUUCUCCAAAAGCAUUUGGUUUUCUUUCACAGGAACAUAGUGGGCUUAAACAUAUUUUGGCUAAAUCUAAUUGCUAUAAUUUGGAUCGAGCAGCCCUUUGAGUUGCCUGACGAAAUUAGAAGGAUUGUUGCUGAUAUCAAGAUUUUCCUCUUGCGUUGUUGAGCAUAUAAGUCAUAAGCAAAAUAGAGAGGGUUUCUUAUGAUCGGCUCUGAGAUUACUCUACCCACCAUUGCCGCUAAUGCCAAGCCCUAAUCAGACCCUAAUCAGAUCAAAUCAUAGGAUACAUAAGUUCUCUCCAAAUCAUGCUUUUACAGUGUUCUCCGAAGAGAGAAU